This 111-nucleotide ribosomal RNA is filed under the name Microcebus murinus (gray mouse lemur). The record is from RNAcentral. Lineage: Eukaryota; Metazoa; Chordata; Mammalia; Primates; Cheirogaleidae.
GUCUAUGGGCAUAUCACCCUGAACACACCCAGUCUCAUCUGAUCCUGAAGCUAAGCAGGAUCAAUCCUGGUUAGUACUUGGAUGGCAGAAGAAAUACAUAGGACUAAGAUU